AACACAGCUAACACAAGGCCCCGCAGGCAGGACUCUGGGACAGACGCAGGCCAGGUGAGCGUCUGAACAAGGGGCAGUCGGCCAGGGUGGGCUUGCGGGAGUCCCCACCUUCACCUCUCUCCCUUCCAGCUGCCCAGAGCCCAGACCAAGCAUGGAUGCUGUGGAUGCCACCAUGGAGAAACUCCGGGCACAGUGCCUGUCCCGCGGGGCCUCGGGCAUCCAGGGCCUGGCCAGGUGAGCUGUCCCCUCCCAGCUUCCUGACGCCAGCCCCUGAGACCACUGUUCCAAUUGUGUCCCCUGCCUCCAGGUUUUUCCGCCAACUAGACCGGGACAGGAGCAGAUCCCUGGACGCUGAUGAGUUCCGGCAGGGUCUGGCCAAACUCGGGCUGGUGCUGGACCAGGCGGAGGCAGAGGGUGUGUGCAGGAAGUGGGACCGCGACGGCAGCGGGACACUGGAUCUGGAGGAGUUCCUUCGGGCGCUGCGGGUGAGCCCCCACCUCACAAUCAAGGCGUGUGCCCUGGGCAUGAGGUGACAGAGGAUGCUGAGAUGCGGAGACAGGGGACUCCUCCUCAAGAGCUGCUGUUAAGAGGCGCCUGCUGGGGCAUACAGCCCCGGUGCUCUGCACAGCGUCUUGGGGGUUUGGGUGUGCUACCCACCA
RNAcentral lists this small RNA (659 nucleotides) under Pongo abelii (Sumatran orangutan). RNAcentral's name for it is "retained intron". Lineage: Eukaryota; Metazoa; Chordata; Mammalia; Primates; Hominidae. The record is from RNAcentral.